AUGAUUCAACAACAGGUGCAGCAGAGUAUUCCUCAGCACACGAUCCAGCACCAGACUAUGACACAAAUUAUGCCGCAGCAGCAAGGCCUACAACAGCACAGCAUACACCAACAACAAGGCAUGCAUCCUCCACCAAUGCAUCAACAGCAAAUCAUAACGCAGAGUUUGCCCCAGCAACAGAAUCUGCUUUCCCAGCAGAAUGUCAUGCAGCGUCCCCAGUUUGCACAAAGUAUGCCAGAGUCAGAGGGUCAGCACUAUCAGCAGCAGGUGCCAAUGAAUCAAUCGUCAUUUGAGCGAAUGAAGCAGCUAGGAGCGCAACAGUCUCAGCAUUCACAGCAACAGCAAUCGAUGCAGCAGUCGCAAGAGCAGCGAUCCCAGCAAGCGCAGGAACAACUGAUGCAGCUUGCGCAUCAGCGAUUGCAGGUGCCUGGUGGACAAUCGAGCCAAGGCUCUCCGCAGAAUCGGCCCUCACCACCGCACCAAGGCAGGCAGUCACCCAACGUUUUACUGUCCCCACAGUCAAAUGUCCGCAUCAUGUCGCCCAUGCAGACUGUCAAACAUCAAGCUCAGAAGCGUUCUUAUGAUGAGUACACUAAUGCUCCGCAGCCAGUUCCUGCUCCUAACGCAAGACCACCAAGACAUUGCCUAGUGCGACAAGGCAUUGGUAAUGAGCAACACGGCAACUCAAACAGCAAUAUAAUCGGUGCCGAAAGCGGACGCCCGCCACCGGAGAAGCAAUUAAUGCCGCCCCCUCCCCCUCCUGCUUCCGGGGUGCCAGAUAACUGGAAAGAAUCAUCCCAAAAAUCAUCAGUAUCAGUGCAUGGAGAUGGAAAGCCUGAAGCUAAAAGAAUGCGUCCAAACCAUGGUGCUUUCAGCGACAGUGAUAGCGGAAGAGGAGUAGAUCGGCCGACGUACACUCACUAUUCGUCGAAGCCUCAGAUGUACAACAAUCAAAUGCCUUUUCACAUGCAGGGGCUGGGGAUGUGCCCGCCUCCUCCACCCCCACCCCCAUUACCGCUGGACGGAGCCUAUCAGCAGCAGGUGAGCUUCAGUUCGUCAAACGAUGGAGCAGGGUAUCAAAAUGCGGCACAGCAGCAAGCGCAGAUGCCACUUCAGCAGUCAGCUCCCUCUCCUGGGAACCACCAAUCACAGCCGCCUCAACCACAGCAACAGCAGCAGCAGUUGCAACAACCGCAGCAGCCCCGCCACCUCAGCACCAAGAUCAGCACCAACAGCAACAGCAGCAGCAGCAGCAACAACAACAGCAACAACAACAACAACAGCAGCAUCAACAACAAUCACAGCAACAGCAGCACCAUCAACAACAACAACACCAACAUACCCAGAACUAUCCUUAUUGGAUGAACCAGCAAUGAAAUAAUGAUGUAUCAAGGAAAAUGUUUUGUACAGACAUUUGUCAAGGAAUCUAGAAUCUGAGAAAACGUGAAGUACGAGGAUUCAUUAGAGAAUGAAGAAGCUCGAGAGAACUGAGGCAAUUCACGAAGGAACCUGCACUAAGAACUAGAGUAUUUCUCUAGCUGCUCCAAAAACCCUUUUCUUUAGUGGUGGUCUCUUCAUACUUGGCUUCAAAAAAUUUGCCAUUAAAAUGGACAAAAGAGAAUCUUUGAGAAAAUUCAGCGAAAUAAGUGGCAAGAUCUGUGAAAUUCAAAAGAGUAGCAAGAAGCUAAAACAUUCAAGAAUUUUGGAUGCUGCGUUUGAAGAAGUAGCAGUAUCCAAAUCUCAAGAUUCAUAAUCAGUCUCUUCAUCUAAAAAGAGUCCUGUGUAAGAAUACAUUAAUUUAAUCACGAAUCGGUGUAUGAAUGGCAGUUUUGCCUUUUCUGAAAUGAAACAAGAAAGGCGCCUCUUUUUAUCGAAGCAGUCCAGUUGGGCAUGAAGUCGUCGGUUUUUUGAUGCAUGAUUGAAAAUCUUUUAACUUUAACCCAUCUCUUUUUCAUCUACAAAUUGAAAGGAUGAACAAAAAUUAGGAAGAUUGAUCUGGAAAUUCUUUGUAGAUGCUCUGCAAGUUACACAAAUUCUCUUAAGUUGGUUCUUGUUACUCGGAUUUUAGUUAUUUGAAAGCAAUAAUUUUACUCUGAUUUAUUCAAGGACUGGAUUGUACUAUACGCUUAAAAAUUUUUGAAUCAAGUGAAAAUUAAACACAGAAAACUCAAUUUCUGCUCCUUUGUUGGAAAGCAAAACUGGUCGUUGAUUCAUUUGAAAAAAGAAAAUCUUGUCUUUCAAAUAGUCAGUAGUUAUAAAGUAUCGUUCGUGAUCUAAAAUCAAAUGUAAUUAUUUGGAAUUUUUAGGAUAUUUUUAUGUACAGAGCCUUCAUGCAAGCUGUCAAUUAAAUUGUUUGUUUCUUGAACGAAAUUUGAUGUGAUUUAAUUUUGAAUUUUUAAAGCUUGCUCUGGCCUCAGGCAAGCCAUAAGCAAGUUCUUUUUACCGUUUUGACAACAUUUUUGCAAGAUACCUACAGCAUCCUUAGUCUGACUUGUAAGUAACAAACUUGUGUUUCAGUUUUAUGAGGCAAAAUUAAAGAAGAAUGAUAACAAUUUUUCGUUUUUAAGACUUUUCAUGUUUUAAAUUAUGCCUAAACCCAAAAGAAAAUUCUCAAUUUGACCAAUUUCUCCUCCACGUGAUAUAAUGUAAAUUUGUACAUGUGUACUACCAAUGUUUUGUAAAUAUCCCUGUAAUAUUUGUACUCUUUCUUUUUGAAAAUAAUUUGUGAUACUUCCUUGUAGGGUUUUCUUUUUGUUUUAAAAAAAUAAAUCGAAUAAUUUAUUAAAUCAUUUGGUUUGAUAUCUUUAUCUCCUUGUUUCAAUUAGUAUUAUUAAGAUAUGUUCAUUUUUGCCAUCAUUUUAUCGAUAUUUCCUUGGUUUGUCACUCUGCCAGUCCACUCGCACUUUCAUAUCUUACUUAGUAGAGUUAAGUACUAAUAUUUAGCACGGUUCUGGAGACAGCAGCAGUUUUUUUUUCGGAACUGAUGAUCUAAUAUCAGUUACUUUACGCCUACAGGCAAGCAGCUUACAGGCGUGGACGAAUUUAAACUGUAAACAUUUGAUUAUAGGUAAAAUAGUAAUAUUUCCUGUUAACUAUUAAAAACUAACUUCUCAUCUCUACAACAUCAUAGUGGGCAUGUUUUUGUGAUAUAGUACCAAUAGCUUAAUUCAGGAACCAUAUAUCUUACCUUGUCUUUCAAUAUCUGCCUUUAUUUUGUUUUAUUUUUUUAAUGGGAAUCAACACAACUUACUUCACUCGAAUUUUCUAUUUUUUUCGAAUAUUUUACUCGAAAUUUUCAUAAAUAUUGCUCAAAUAGAUUUGAAAAUUCUCCGGUAUUUUGUUGAUAGACUUUCUCAAAGAAAUAUGAUGUAAGAUCAAAUGGACGUAUUUCUGCCAAAUGGAACUAUGUGCAUUAAGACAUGAGCCCUGAGACCCAUAAGAACAUAUGCCUACCAGGACUCACGUCAUAAUUUACAUAGUUCCGUUUGGCAGAAACACGUCCAAAUUCAAGUCAGUAUCAUUGCAAGGCAAUAUUUACUUGGUUUCUGAAUUUAGCCACCCAUUUGGAUCACAUUUUGCAAGAAGGAGCCACUACUUAUUUCUGGCUCAUUGUAGAAACAACCUACAUGCCAUCGGUUUCCCUAUGCAGAUAUGUGCUUUUAUGAGA
RNAcentral lists this long non-coding RNA (3667 nucleotides) under Bemisia tabaci. RNAcentral's name for it is "lncRNA ENSSSA3NGG007343". Lineage: Eukaryota; Metazoa; Arthropoda; Insecta; Hemiptera; Aleyrodidae. The record is from RNAcentral.